This 253-nucleotide ribosomal RNA is filed under the name uncultured bacterium. RNAcentral's name for it is "partial 16S ribosomal RNA". It matches the Rfam family "Bacterial small subunit ribosomal RNA", at positions 524 to 776 of the family's 1533-position model. The record is from RNAcentral.
UACGAAGGGGGCUAGCGUUGCUCGGAAUUACUGGGCGUAAAGGGAGCGUAGGCGGACAUUUAAGUCAGAGGUGAAAUCCCGGAGCUUAACUUCGGAACUGCCUUUGAUACUGGAUGUCUUGAGUGUGAGAGAGGUAUGUGGAACUCCGAGUGUAGAGGUGAAAUUCGUAGAUAUUCGGAAGAACACCAGUGGCGAAGGCGACAUACUGGCUCAUUACUGACGCUCAGGUGCGAAAGCGUGGGGAGCAAACAGG